RNAcentral lists this transfer RNA (71 nucleotides) under Longpotamon yangtsekiense. Its description in RNAcentral is "tRNA-Ser". RNAcentral also lists the same sequence under 1 other name. Lineage: Eukaryota; Metazoa; Arthropoda; Malacostraca; Decapoda; Potamidae. The record is from RNAcentral.
GAUUAUUUAGUUUAUUAAUUUAUAAAACAAGUGUUUUGAAAACAUUAGAAAAGAAAAAUUCUUAAUAAUUA